AAAACUUUCAACAACGGAUCUCUUGGCUCUGGCAUCGAUGAAGAACGCAGCGAAAUGCGAUAAGUAAUGUGAAUUGCAGAAUUCAGUGAAUCAUCGAAUCUUUGAACGCACAUUGCGCCCGCCAGUAUUCUGGCGGGCAUGCCUGUCCGAGCGUCAUUU
This 159-nucleotide ribosomal RNA is filed under the name Ilyonectria destructans. RNAcentral describes it as "5.8S ribosomal RNA". It matches the Rfam family "5.8S ribosomal RNA". From Rfam's summary of the family: 5.8S ribosomal RNA (5.8S rRNA) is a component of the large subunit of the eukaryotic ribosome. The record is from RNAcentral. RNAcentral also lists the same sequence under 1 other name. Lineage: Eukaryota; Fungi; Ascomycota; Sordariomycetes; Hypocreales; Nectriaceae.